CGGGCCGUGGCGCAGCUUGGUAGCGCAUCUGCUUUGGGAGCAGAGGGUCGCAGGUUCGAAUCCUGUCGGCCCGACCA
This 77-nucleotide transfer RNA is filed under the name Coriobacteriia bacterium. RNAcentral's name for it is "tRNA-Pro". It matches the Rfam family "tRNA". From Rfam's summary of the family: Transfer RNA (tRNA) molecules are approximately 80 nucleotides in length. Their secondary structure includes four short double-helical elements and three loops (D, anti-codon, and T loops). Lineage: Bacteria; Bacillati; Actinomycetota; Coriobacteriia. The record is from RNAcentral.